AAAAGAAAAUGCAUAAUAUAUGUCUCUGACUUUUUAUUAAUUUAAUGUCAAAGCAUCAAAUUCAUAAGUAACAAUCUUCAGAAUCUCUCUCUCCCCCCUUAGUGCAAAGCACAUUAUGACAUUCCAAAAACAACUCUUCCCCAUCCUCUUCUUCCUCUUCCCUCUCUUACACCUUUCCCACCAACAAAACUGCCCUUCUUCCUCAUGUGAUGGACAUAGCUAUCUCCAUGUCCGUUUCCCCUUCCGGCUUCCCCACAAGCAGCCAAGAACCUGCGGUUACCCUGGAUUCAACCUCGCCUGCGACGAUCAGCACAACACGGUCCUUGAACUCCCGAAAGUUGGUAGGCUUUUUGUCCGGAAGAUCGACUAUCUAAACCAACAGAUCAGCCUAUAUGACCCUGGCCAUUGCUUGGCCGGAAAACUCGUCGACUUCGACGCUUCUGGAUCUCCUUUCGCCGCUCCUUUGCUCGUCAACUACACGUUCUUGAGAUGUCCUAACGAGGUCGUGGGGUCGGGGUACACGGCCAUUGGUUGCCUUGGAAACUCCACGUCAUCGGUUCUGGCCACUUCUAACAUGGAUCUUGUGAAAUCGAUGCCGGAAUCUUGUGUUGUAAUGAAGACGUUGCCUGUUCCAGUUUCUUGGCCGACAGGGGAAAACGCAAGGUUCUCGACCGAGCUCAACGAUCACGACAUGAAGCUGACAUGGGAUUCACCAGAUUGCAGAAUAUGUGAGAGAAACCAGCUUAGUUGUGGGCUCAUAAGCAAUGCCAGCCUUCAAGUCAGAUGCUUUUAUUAUGACAACCCUGGAAACUUCAACACGGCUUUCCAAAUACUGAAAAUAGUAACCCUAUCUGUAGCCGGACCAGCCGCCGUGGUGGCCACUUGUGUAGCCAUUUUCGCAUGCACCUCCGAACGGUUCAACUCCAAUAGACGGAACGCAUCUGCAGCUGCAGCCACGGUUGCUCCUCAGCCAAACACCGCCACGACCACGGGACUGGACGAGUCUACGAUAGAGUCGUACAAGAAGGUCGAACUCGGAGAAAGUAGGAGGCUUCCGGGACCUAACGGGAUCAUAUGUCCGAUAUGUCUGUCGGAAUACGCGAGCAAAGACACCGUUCGAUGCAUACCCGAAUGCGAACACUGCUUCCACGCUGAGUGUAUCGACGAGUGGCUCCGCUUGCAUAACUCUUGCCCUCUUUGUAGAAACUCUCCCUCUCCUGCUCGUGAAGGUGCCGCCGCCAUUGCUGUCUGAUAUUUGAUUGAUUCGAGACCAGGGUAAGGACAGUUUUGCAAUGUUGUCGCCAUCACCCCAGAAUGGUACUAUUCUACCACUAGACCACUGGUGCAAUGUGGUGGAACAACAACAUUUUUCAGUGAACAAAAAUAUGAACGUUUUCCUCUCGUCGCUUUUGACUUCAUGGCCAUUCACGUCUCGUAUGGUACUGCAGUCAAUUAUGAGAACCCUCUUUCCAAAGUUUUAUUCAAGAUCUCAAUACUCAUUGAUCGAUAUCCUACGGUGAAUCUAUAUGCAUGUCACUGUACCCACCCAAUAUCUACUGACAAAGUGUGAGAUACAAAGGAGACUCCAAUUAAAACUGGGAUGAGUGGGAUGGUUUCUGAGGAAAU
RNA transcript from Tarenaya hassleriana, 1626 nucleotides. It is a transcript of the gene named putative RING-H2 finger protein ATL21A, with no coding region annotated. Lineage: Eukaryota; Viridiplantae; Streptophyta; Magnoliopsida; Brassicales; Cleomaceae. The record is from RefSeq and is a predicted model, not a curated record. The transcript has 3 exons.